Molecule: long non-coding RNA, 901 nt
Filed under: Pandoravirus dulcis
Description: putative ncRNA
Source: RNAcentral
CUCAAGGGCGCCUCGGACGACGCCAACGGUGACGUCGGUGGGACCGUGACAAAGACGUCGCGGCACCAUCUGUGCGCGUGGCAUUGCCAGGCGCACGAACGCGCAAAAUCAUGCACGACGUCGACGAUGGCCGCGCAGUCGCUUUCGAUGGCGCUGCGCAUGAUCUUUUCGCCCUCUUCCGCAAGGUCGGGAUGGGCAGCGAGGACGGCGGCCAGGGUGGCGCUCUGGCCGGCAGCCGCGGCCUCGCGCGCAUACUUGACACGGCAGCGAAAGGCGGCCGGUCCGUCGAGCGUGUUUCCGGCGAUGUCAUCGAGCGUCGCGGCGCUGAGAUCAUUGAGUGGGCGGCAGACACGGGCGUCGAGCCAGAGGAGGGCGUCGGUGCGUCCCGCCGCCGCCAGCCGACACAGGCCGCCAGCGUCAAAGCCCUUGGUCGCCAUGCCCCAGCGGCCGUACACGGCGACAAAGGCCUCGAUGGGUUCGUCACAGGGGUCAGUGCCAUCGACAGCGCGUUCUGAAUCGACCGCGUCGGCACGCGCCCGCACCGACACGGUGAGGUCAUGGGGGGUCUCGGGGGCGUACUUGCGCGUCCACGUGUCGCACGGCGCCAGCACGUUGGCAAACCGGCGCGCGGUGGCCUGAAAGGCGACGACGUCGCGCCAGCAUUCGACGCGCAUGAGCACCUCGCGCACCAUCUCUAGGGGGAGCGUGUCAAACACGUCCGUGUCGUCGCAGGGCGUCGCGUAGGCAUGGAGAACGCGGCGUCCCGCGUGACGGUGCCGCUUGGACGGACGGGCGGCGAGGGCGCUCACGAGGGUCCGAAACUCGCCGGCCGUAUGGGCCACGGGGCGCUUGCGUGACGCCUCGUUCAUUUCUGCCUUUUUUAAAAUAAAGGCUUUCCCCC